AUGGGUGUGGCACCAGGAAGCAAGGCAGAGAGAAAAGCAGCAUUAGAUGCUGGAGCAUGGAUGUUCAAUGUUGUGACAUCUGUUGGUAUAAUCAUGGUCAACAAGGCCUUAAUGGCUACACAUGGUUUUAGCUUUGCUACAACGUUAACUGGGCUGCAUUUCCUAACCACGACCUUGAUGACAUCAGUAAUGAAAUGGUUGGGAUAUAUUCAGCCAUCCUACUUACCAUUGCCAGAACUAGUAAAAUUUGUCUUCUUUGCAAACUUAUCAAUUGUUGGGAUGAAUGUUAGCUUGAUGUGGAACUCUGUUGGAUUCUAUCAGAUUGCCAAGUUGUGUAUCAUUCCAGUUUUGUGUUUUCUAGAAAUCCUCUUUGACAAAGUUCGUUACUCAAGAGAUACAAAACUCAGUAUAAUGCUUGUCCUAGUUGGUGUUGCUGUGUGUACUGUAACUGAUGUUAGUGUGAACUCUCAAGGGUUGAUAGCUGCAAUAAUAGCGGUCUGGAGCACUGCACUACAACAGCAUUAUGUUCAUCAUCUUCAACGGAAGUACUCGCUUGGCUCAUUCAACCUCUUGGGUCAUACUGCUCCUGCUCAGGCAGUGUCGUUGUUAAUAUUUGGUCCUUUUGUGGAUUUAUGGUUGACUGACAAAAGAGUUGAUACUUUUGAUUAUACCAUGGUAGUUACGUUCUUCAUUGUAUUGUCGUGCAUAAUUGCUGUUGGUACCAAUCUAAGCCAGUUCAUAUGCAUCGGACGAUUCACAGCUGUCUCGUUUCAAGUUCUAGGCCACAUGAAGACUAUUCUCGUGCUGACCCUGGGUUUUUUCUUCUUCGGAAAAGAGGGCCUUAAUUUCCAUGUCGCACUUGGCAUGACCAUAGCUGUUAUUGGCAUGAUUUGGUACGGGAAUGCGUCGUCCAAACCAGGAGGCAAAGAGCGGCAGGUUUACAUACCAAUCAGCGAGAAAACACAGAAGCACGGCAUACUGUCAUCGCAGUCUGAGCUUGAUCUGAAAGUCUGA
RNAcentral lists this ribosomal RNA (1014 nucleotides) under Triticum aestivum (bread wheat). RNAcentral describes it as "partial small subunit ribosomal RNA". Lineage: Eukaryota; Viridiplantae; Streptophyta; Magnoliopsida; Poales; Poaceae. The record is from RNAcentral.